GGAAUUAUUGGGCGUAAAGAGCUCGUAGGCGGUUUGUCGCGUCUGCUGUGAAAUCCCGAGGGCUCAACCUCGGGCUUGCAGUGGGUACGGGCAGACUAGAGUGCGGUAGGGGGAGAUUGGAAUUUCCUGGUGUAGCGGUGGAAAUGCGCCAGAUAUCAGGAGGAACACCGAUGGCGAAGGCAGAUCUCUGGGCCGUAACUGACGCUGAGGAGCGAAAGCGUGGGGAGCGAACAGGAUUAGAUACCCUGGUAGUCCACGCCGUAAACGUUGGGCGCUAGAUGUAGGGACCUUUCCACGGUUUCUGUGUCGUAGCUAACGCAUUAAGCGCCCCGCCUGGGGAGUACGGCCGCAAGGCUAAAACUCAAAGGAAUUGACGGGGGCCCGCACAAGCGGCGGAGCAUGCGGAUUAAUUCGAUGCAACGCGAAGAACCUUACCAAGGCUUGACAUACACCGGAAACGGCCAGAGAUGGUCGCCCCCUUGUGGUCGGUGUACAGGUGGUGCAUGGUUGUCGUCAGCUCGUGUCGUGAGAUGUUGGGUUAAGUCCCGCAACGAGCGCAACCCUCGUUCUAUGUUGCCAGCGCGUUAUGGCGGGGACUCAUAGGAGACUGCCGGGGUCAACUCGGAGGAAGGUGGGGAUGACGUCAAAUCAUCAUGCCCCUUAUGUCUUGGGCUUCACGCAUGCUACAAUGGCCGGUACAAAGGGCUGCGAUACCGUAAGGUGGAGCGAAUCCCAAAAAGCCGGUCUCAGUUCGGAUUGAGGUCUGC
RNAcentral lists this ribosomal RNA (767 nucleotides) under Curtobacterium oceanosedimentum. RNAcentral's name for it is "bacterial SSU rRNA". It matches the Rfam family "Bacterial small subunit ribosomal RNA", at positions 547 to 1308 of the family's 1533-position model. The record is from RNAcentral. Lineage: Bacteria; Bacillati; Actinomycetota; Actinomycetes; Micrococcales; Microbacteriaceae.